GCUGAUAUUAUUAACCAUAUCUUUAGACUUGACAAUUUAUAGAAACUAUAAGUUUUUGUUGAUGAUAACGAACUCCGACCAACAAAUCAUUUUUGUCAAUUUAAUCUACAGGACUAAAUAACUAAUGUCAAAAAGUCAAACGACACCAGAGUUGCAGCAUAUUGAGCCUAAAUAAAACAGCACUUCAGAUUUAGUGUUACUUCAUCGCGUACACAUUGGAAGAUGAUUUUAACCAUCAUACUGAAUGAGGUUUAAGACAACAUCAUAGAUGAUAUGAAUAGGAGAUCUAUCAUCACAUGAUUGCGGAUUUCCGAGAGCGCGUAAAUUAUUAUCAACAGCCGAAUGCGCAAAACAUUAUUACGAUGUUCAGAAGCAGUUCAAAAUCGUUACGACUUGUGACCACCAAGAAAGAACCCGCCUACAGACGCUUCACGGACCGGAAUCAGCAUGUGCAGCAGAUUCGAUUUUUGAAUAUGAAUGAUUUAAAAUAUAUCAUUUCAAUGGGAUAAAUAAUUCUAUUAGAAUGACGUUGCAAAUUUAGUGAAUUUUCUGUUUUACGGCACGGUUGAGAUUACGGCAGUCCGAUGUGAUCUGACGAUGGGUUUCCCUUUACUUAGGUGUCAAUGGCGACAGGACACGUCUAUCAUCUUACCCGGACGCCAAUUUUGGAUCGAUAUUUGUGUUGAAGUAAACAUAAUCAUCCAUAUAUAAGUAGUUGUCUUAGUUUUGAAUUGGAGGCAAUUGGCAACAUUCUGUCACUGAAAGCGCAUUGUAACAAAAUUUUACUAUUGUUUUUUGUAAAAAUGCUGAAGGUGGAAUAUUGCCGAGAAGUCGACUCAGCGAUUGUCAUACAAACUUGGUAAUGUUGUAGGGCUCAGAAAGGUUUUUGAGAUAUUCUUUGUUCUUGGUGUUUUGCGUAAUAUCAUAAGAACGUCAGCAUUGAGGCGUUUUAUUAAUAGAUCUCAUAUUCGCCACUUAAUUUAUCAAGUGACAUUGAUUAUUAUUCACGUGGUCAAUAGAUUGUGGAAAUUCUACCAAAUCUACUAUCUCUCGUUUACUUCUUUUUGAAGUAAAACAGAACAGAUAUGACUAUUUAAAGAGAUUUAUUUGUAGCAUUUUAUUGUACCAAGAUAUCGUUGGUUGUGUGAAUGACCCAACAACACGUACCCAAAUU
Styela clava is the source of this 1174-nucleotide non-coding RNA. NCBI's taxonomy places the organism in Eukaryota, Metazoa, Chordata, Ascidiacea, Stolidobranchia, Styelidae. The record is from RefSeq and is a predicted model, not a curated record.